RNAcentral lists this ribosomal RNA (137 nucleotides) under uncultured eukaryote. Its description in RNAcentral is "partial 18S ribosomal RNA". It matches the Rfam family "Eukaryotic small subunit ribosomal RNA", at positions 1299 to 1458 of the family's 1831-position model. The record is from RNAcentral.
UGGUGGAGUGAUUUGUCUGCUUAAUUGCGAUAACGAACGAGACCUUAACCUGCUAAAUAGCCCGCGUCGCUUUGGCGGCGUGCCGGCUUCUUAGAGGGACUAUCGGCUCAAGCCGAUGGAAGUUUGAGGCAAUAACA